UACAGAGGUCUCAAGCGUUGUUCGGAUUCAUUGGGCGUAAAGGGUGCGUAGGUGGCGGGGUAAGUCUGGUGUGAAAUCUCGGGGCUCAACCCCGAAACUGCACUGGAUACUGCCUUGCUUGAGUACUGGAGAGGAGAUUGGAAUUUACGGUGUAGCAGUGAAAUGCGUAGAGAUCGGGAGGAACAUCUGUGGCGAAGGCGACUACCUGGACCAGCACUGACACUGAGGCACGAAAGCGUGGGGAGCAAACAGG
This 253-nucleotide ribosomal RNA is filed under the name uncultured bacterium. Its description in RNAcentral is "partial 16S ribosomal RNA". It matches the Rfam family "Bacterial small subunit ribosomal RNA", at positions 524 to 776 of the family's 1533-position model. The record is from RNAcentral.